RNAcentral lists this ribosomal RNA (447 nucleotides) under uncultured bacterium. RNAcentral describes it as "partial 16S ribosomal RNA". It matches the Rfam family "Bacterial small subunit ribosomal RNA", at positions 29 to 523 of the family's 1533-position model. The record is from RNAcentral.
AACGAACGCUGGCGGCAGGCUUAACACAUGCAAGUCGAACGCCCCGCAAGGGGAGUGGCAGACGGGUGAGUAACGCGUGGGAACAUACCCUUUCCUGCGGAAUAGCUCUGGGAAACUGGAAUUAAUACCGCAUACGCCCUACGGGGGAAAGAUUUAUCGGGGAAGGAUUGGCCCGCGUUGGAUUAGCUAGUUGGUGGGGUAAAGGCCAACCAAGGCGACGAUCCAUAGCUGGUCUGAGAGGAUGAUCAGCCACAUUGGGACUGAGACACGGCCCCAACUCCUACGGGAGGCAGCAGUGGGGAAUAUUGGACAAUGGGCGCAAGCCUGAUCCAGCCAUGCCGCGUGAGUGAUGAAGGCCUUAGGGUUGUAAAGCUCUUUCACCGAUGAAGAUAAUGACGGUAGUCGGAGAAGAAGCCCCGGCUAACUUCGUGCCAGCCGCCGCAGUAA